GUCCAGUUACUUUCAGGGCAUCAUUUUCAUUUCACUGCUCCCAGAGAAAGAGCAGCAACAAGGAAUUAAUGUUUUAGUAACUUGCUUUUUUCCUGUAGGUUAAAGGACGGUAUGGACGGAGCGUGGCUGACCUGGAAUGAUGAAUUAAUAAGAGACAGGCUGAUGAAACCAGAUUUGAUGAACCGUCGACGAUGCCAUUACGCUUCCCGUGCUGCUGCCUCUCACCUCUCCUGACCAAUCAAAUGCCACGCGAGAAUCAUAAAUCAUACUGAUUGGGACUCUAACUGAUCACUGUGCUGUCCAUUGAUUGUGGUGUCUCUCGAUGUAACAGGGGACAAAGAGCUCUGUCCCUCUGUUGCCCUGGGGAAUGCCAAGAGCUUUGCAAAAAUACAAAUAAAUGCAACUGCACA
Long non-coding RNA from Mauremys reevesii (Reeves's turtle), 410 nucleotides. RefSeq lists it as uncharacterized. The transcript is spliced from 2 exons. NCBI's taxonomy places the organism in Eukaryota, Metazoa, Chordata, Testudines, Geoemydidae. The record is from RefSeq and is a predicted model, not a curated record.